This 402-nucleotide ribosomal RNA is filed under the name uncultured Brevundimonas sp. RNAcentral describes it as "bacterial SSU rRNA". It matches the Rfam family "Bacterial small subunit ribosomal RNA", at positions 353 to 772 of the family's 1533-position model. Lineage: Bacteria; Pseudomonadati; Pseudomonadota; Alphaproteobacteria; Caulobacterales; Caulobacteraceae. The record is from RNAcentral.
AGUGGGGAAUCUUGCGCAAUGGGCGAAAGCCUGACGCAGCCAUGCCGCGUGAAUGAUGAAGGUCUUAGGAUUGUAAAAUUCUUUCACCGGGGACGAUAAUGACGGUACCCGGAGAAGAAGCCCCGGCUAACUUCGUGCCAGCAGCCGCGGUAAUACGAAGGGGGCUAGCGUUGCUCGGAAUUACUGGGCGUAAAGGGCGCGUAGGCGGAUCGUUAAGUCAGAGGUGAAAUCCCAGGGCUCAACCCUGGAACUGCCUUUGAUACUGGCGAUCUUGAGUAUGAGAGAGGUAUGUGGAACUCCGAGUGUAGAGGUGAAAUUCGUAGAUAUUCGGAAGAACACCAGUGGCGAAGGCGACAUACUGGCUCAUUACUGACGCUGAGGCGCGAAAGCGUGGGGAGCAAA